RNAcentral lists this ribosomal RNA (468 nucleotides) under uncultured bacterium. Its description in RNAcentral is "partial 16S ribosomal RNA". It matches the Rfam family "Bacterial small subunit ribosomal RNA", at positions 28 to 507 of the family's 1533-position model. The record is from RNAcentral.
GACGAACGCUGGCGGCGUGCUUAACACAUGCAAGUCGAACGGAAAGGCCCUGCUUUUGUGGGGUGCUCGAGUGGCGAACGGGUGAGUAACACGUGAGUAACCUGCCCUUGACUUUGGGAUAACUUCAGGAAACUGGGGCUACUACCGGAUAGGAGCUCCUGCUGCAUGGUGGGGGUUGGAAAGUUUCGGCGGUUGGGGAUGGACUCGCGGCUUAUCAGCUUGUUGGUGGGGAAGUGGCUUACCAAGGCUUUGACGGGUAGCCGGCCUGAGAGGGUGACCGGCCACAUUGGGACUGAGAUACGGCCCAGACUCCUACGGGAGGCAGCAGUGGGGAAUAUUGCACAAUGGGCGGAAGCCUGAUGCAGCAACGCCGCGUGCGGGAUGACGGCCUUCGGGUUGUAAACCGCUUUCGCCUGUGACGAAGCGUGAGUGACGGUAAUGGGUAAAGAAGCACCGGCUAACUACGUG